CCUACGGGGGGCUGCAGUGGGGAAUCUUCCGCAAUGGGCGAAAGCCUGACGGAGCAACGCCGCGUGAACGAGGAAGGUCUUCGGAUCGUAAAGUUCUGUUGCAAGGGACGAAUGGCAGUAGUGCUAAUAUCGCUAUUGCAUGACGGUACCUUGUUAGAAAGCCACGGCUAACUACGUGCCAGCAGCCGCGGUAAUACGUAGGCGGCAAGCGUUGUCCGGAAUCAUUGGGCGUAAAGGGAGCGUAGGUGGAUAUUUAAGUGGAUCUUAAAAGUGCGGGGCUCAACCCCGUGAUGGGGUCCAAACUGAAUAUCUUGAGUGCAGGAGAGGAAAGCGGAAUUCCUAGUGUAGCGGUGAAAUGCGUAGAUAUUAGGAAGAACACCAGUGGCGAAGGCGGCUUUCUGGACUGUAACUGACACUGAGGCUCGAAAGCCAGGGUAGCGAACGGGCUUAGAUACCCCAGUAGUC
Molecule: ribosomal RNA, 465 nt
Filed under: uncultured Pectinatus sp.
Lineage: Bacteria; Bacillati; Bacillota; Negativicutes; Selenomonadales; Selenomonadaceae
Description: bacterial SSU rRNA
Rfam family: Bacterial small subunit ribosomal RNA
Source: RNAcentral